This 89-nucleotide transfer RNA is filed under the name Rickettsiales bacterium. RNAcentral describes it as "tRNA-Leu". It matches the Rfam family "tRNA". Rfam says of the family: Transfer RNA (tRNA) molecules are approximately 80 nucleotides in length. Their secondary structure includes four short double-helical elements and three loops (D, anti-codon, and T loops). Lineage: Bacteria; Pseudomonadati; Pseudomonadota; Alphaproteobacteria; Rickettsiales. The record is from RNAcentral.
GCAGAUGUGGCGGAACAGGUAGACGCAAGGGACUUAAAAUCCCUCGGAAGUUAAACUCCAUGCCGGUUCGAUUCCGGCCAUCUGCACCA